Molecule: long non-coding RNA, 386 nt
Filed under: Coffea arabica (coffee)
Lineage: Eukaryota; Viridiplantae; Streptophyta; Magnoliopsida; Gentianales; Rubiaceae
Description: long non-coding RNA (CARA_LNC007581)
Source: RNAcentral
UAAGGAUUUCUAUUGUACUAAAGGUCAAAAAAUAUUUCCAUAGCAUUCACUGUUGGAUGGUCAAGAUCGAAAAAGGUUUUGGGUGACCUCGUUAACAAUAAAAAAAAAAAAAUUUUUGGAACUGUUCUCAAAUAAACAUUCACAGAAAGUACUUUCAAUCAAAAAAAGAAAUUUCAGAAAAAACAGUCCAAACGGACAAUUUUAACUUUCUAAACUAAACAAAAAAAGAAAAAAAAGAACUUGAGCAAGGGAUAACAAGCAAAAUGGUGGUGUCAUGUAAAUCCUACUAGUAUCCUUCAAUGAAAAGAAUGGCAAGUGAAUUAUUGAACCUCUAUAAUCAGCCACGGAUUUAAGGGGGGGCUGGUGGGGGCUUAAGCCCCCCCCCC